AAUGUCUGUUGUCAUUUUCUGGUGUCACAAUCUUGUAAAACUCAAGAUUGUAUGGAAAUCAAGUAAAGAUUGAUGUUCUUGUAUCUUAAUCAAGUAAAUUAAUGCCAAGGCACCAAGCUUCGACUUUGAUAUACUAGUAGUAUUCAUUUGAAUUAUUAUGAUUGUUAUUUGAUUAUUGAGAUGACACUUGCCUAACUUCUAAACAAAGGGAGGAACAAUCAAAGUUUCAAUACGUUUGGUGUAAUUAUAGGGUGACAUUUAAAAUCGACAAAUAUAUAAGAGCUUACUUAAUUAAUUAACAAAGUCGAUUGUCUAAAGAAACUCUUUAUUUACCACACAAAAAAAAAAAAAACAAAAAGUCGAUUGUCAUACAUAAUGUAUCUCUCUUGUGUAUAAAUAAUACUCAACAUGUCAUAUAUGUAAUACUUCUAUGGUAAAACAACAUUGUCAACUUCGAUUGUCAAUAUUUAUCGACGUACAAGUCUACACGAGCGAUGAUAUUGUGAUAGUAAAGGUAAAUACUCCAGUUUAUAAUUCCGUAUGACUUAUUACCGUGAUAAUUAAUCUUGAUAUGUUAUUUUCAUUUAAUUUAGUUUCUAUUUCUUAAGAAUAAAUGCAUGAUAUAAGGACAAGAACACGAGAUAAUUAAAAAACAAAAAAAAAGAACCCAGGGGUAGAAAAGUGAAAGAUAGAAAGUUGUGUCAAAACGAAGGAAACAAUGUAGAAGAAAGAAUAAGGGUAGAGGUUUGGUAGCCAAACAUUGUCUUGAAUCUUGACAAUUUGGAGCAGUUGAUCUUAAUCUUAAUGAGAAGCACGUUUGAUUAUGAUUAUGAAAGUAAAGGCAGCCACGUAGAUGUAUUAAAAUAAAAACAGUUUGGAAAAGUCCCAACGAUUUCUAUCUAAAUUCCAAAUGUUGAUGCUGCUCUUCAAUUUAAUUCUCAACUAAACUUCCUAUAAGCAGUCAGCACAGCAGCCCCUCUUACCCAACGAAGUGGGGUGCAUCAAUACAUUAUUUUAAUACGAGUAUCUUAUCAUUCAAACCAAUUCAUAAACCAUAGUCACAUCUCCUGAUUUAUGUUAGUCGUUUUCAUUCAUUUUGAGACUAAGGCUUAAAAGAAGAAAAAGAAAGAGAGAACAUAAUUAGAGAUACUGGUAACUAAAAUCAUCAUCGACAAACAUGAAGAAAAAAAAACAUUACGAGCAGUGGGGUACAACUUAAAAAAAUAAAGGAAAUAUAUUACUCAAACCUACGAGUAUUAUUUUGUGUUAAUGAAGUUGUUAAACCAUAUAAUAGUGCGUUUUAUCUAAUAAAAUCUAAUGACGUAGUCAAACUAGUAUUACAUAAAGAGAUACACGUCAACAAAUGAAACCAAUUCCAACAGUCCAAGGUCCGCAGAGAAGCAUUUCGUGGUGGGAGGGUUGGGGCUCUUUUGGUUCCUUUUUUUAUUUCUUGACCUUUUCAUUGUAUUUUGUAAUGGGUUAGACUUGGUAAGUUGGUGUUUGUGAGUUGUGAUGAUACGUUGUGGACUUUUUGGAGUAUUCUUAACUAGAAACAGUCUUUUCUUUUCUUUUUAAAUGCCUAAACCAUUAUUUUGAAAAGUAUGCAAAAUUGCCAAGUAUAUUGGACUAAUACGGAGUACUUCAUACUUGUAUUUUAUUUUCUCAUUUUUCUUCCUAAUUUCAUCGACCAAUUUAUCCUUCAUGCCUAAUAAAUCUUGACUUAAGCUACUCUUAAACAUUCUUUAACAAAUUAAAUGAUUUCACUAGAUUGUUUUUUGAUGUGAAAUUCCAAGACGUGUGAGUCACGUGUCACUCGAUUGUGAUUUUUAGGAAGAUAUCGAGUAACAAGCGAUGUAAAUGUGACCCUAAUUUAAGGAAUAUAUAUGGUUUAAAAAUUAGAUAACAUUCAAAUGUAGGUGAGAUAAAUAAAUUUGGUCACAAAAUCUAAGACAUUGAAAAGAAUGAUAAACUUUAAAUCUUAAAAUAUUGUACUAGCUACGUAGUUUAUUGUUUGUGUAUAUAGACGUAUGUGCGCGCGAAUGAAAACAACUGAUAAACUCAUAUUAAAUCUCCCCAAAACAAAAAGAAACUCAUAUUAAACACGGAACUUACUUAUUUGGGAUAAACUUGUAGGCAUUGUUAAAGAAAAUUUAUUAGCAAAUCAUAACGUAGCAAUGGUUUGACAUGUGAUAAUAGUACGUCUAUAUCCUAUGAAUAGAGCACUAGAAGUUUUUUUAAUUUAUUUUAACAUUUGAAGCAGAACACUAGUAGUUUAAAUGAAUUAAACACAUUCGCUACAUACCUUAUAAUAAAACUUUUAUUUUUUUUGCAUGAAUGUAAAUUCCAACUUUCUCGAACUUGUUCAAUAUAACUAGAGCCCUACAGGAGACCGGCUUAGCUAAUUCACUAUAUAUAUUUUCAUGAAUCAUGACCUAAUUGAUUUAUGACUUUUUGCAUCUCAAUUCUCAUGCUGACUACGGAGGGAGUAGUACAUCCGGUUGCCGAAAUUCACAAAUUGUGUUUUUCGGAGUUACAAGAGAUUAAGUGGACAAUCUAAAUUAACAUGGAUUCCAGCACAGUGUGCUCAACAACCGGGAUCACUAGAAUGUGGCUACCACGUUAUGUGUUUUAUGUACGACAUAAUAAUGAAUCAUGGUAAUAGUCAAGAUCUUACUAAGGAUUUUUCAAGAACAUUGCCUUAUUCACCAGAGGAGAUUAAUGAGGUGAAAGAUUUUUGGGCAGAUUACUUCAUGAACAAUGUCGACUUUUAGCUUAAUUUGUAAUAUGAACUCGAUCUCUAGCUAGAUAUCUUUGUUGUAGUAAUUUUAUGUUUGUUGUAACAUGUUGGUUGAUCUAUGACGAAUUUAAUUGCCUUUUAUUGGGAACGUUAAUUA
Spinacia oleracea (spinach) is the source of this 2894-nucleotide long non-coding RNA. RefSeq lists it as uncharacterized. NCBI's taxonomy places the organism in Eukaryota, Viridiplantae, Streptophyta, Magnoliopsida, Caryophyllales, Amaranthaceae. The record is from RefSeq and is a predicted model, not a curated record. The transcript has 4 exons.